GCGGGAGUAGUUCAGUGGUAGAGCGUCUGCUUCCCAAGCAGAAUGUCGCGGGUUCGAGUCCCGUCUCCCGCU
RNAcentral lists this transfer RNA (72 nucleotides) under Armatimonadota bacterium. RNAcentral describes it as "Armatimonadetes bacterium tRNA-Gly". It matches the Rfam family "tRNA". Rfam says of the family: Transfer RNA (tRNA) molecules are approximately 80 nucleotides in length. Their secondary structure includes four short double-helical elements and three loops (D, anti-codon, and T loops). RNAcentral also lists the same sequence under 1 other name. Lineage: Bacteria; Bacillati; Armatimonadota. The record is from RNAcentral.